UCCGAGUUGACCCCGGCAGUCUCCUACGAGUCCCCGGCAUAACCCGCUGGCAACAUAGGACAAGGGUUGCGCUCGUUGCGGGACUUAACCCAACAUCUCACGGCACGAGCUGACGACAGCCAUGCAGCACCUGUGCUAGCCCCUUACGGACACGCGCUUUCACGCGCUUUAACUAGCAUGUCAAGGGUAGGUAAGGUUCUUCGCGUUGCGUCGAAUUAAACCACAUGCUCCGCUGCUUGUGCGGGCCCCCGUCAAUUCCUUUGAGUUUUAAUCUUGCGACCGUACUCCCCAGGCGGGGCACUUAAUGCGUUAGCUGCGGCACCCAGGGGGUCAAUACCCCGGACACCUAGUGCCCAUCGUUUACAGCGUGGACUAC
RNAcentral lists this unclassified non-coding RNA (376 nucleotides) under uncultured bacterium. RNAcentral describes it as "contains 16S-23S intergenic spacer region". The record is from RNAcentral.